Molecule: long non-coding RNA, 1407 nt
Filed under: Apteryx haastii (Great spotted kiwi)
Lineage: Eukaryota; Metazoa; Chordata; Aves; Apterygiformes; Apterygidae
Description: lncRNA (ENSAHAG00000016029.1)
Source: RNAcentral
AUGUGCCGUCUCCCAGUGCCCCUAGUCCCACUGCUCCCAGUUCCAGCCCUCCCAGUGCCCCCAGUGCUCCCAGUCACACUGCUCCUAGCCCUCCAGUUCCUUCAGUCCCAGCCCUUCCAGUGUCCCCAGUCCCAACUGCCCCAGACCCAGCCCCCAAUUCCCCCAGUCCCAGUCCCUUCAGUCCCAGCCCUCCCAGUGCCCCCAGUCCCAGUUCCCUCAGGCCCAGCUCUCCCAGCCCCCCCAGUGCCCCCAGUCUCACGGGUUGGUGCUGCCCAGCAGGAAGAAGGCACUGCCCUCAGGGAUCGGCGCCACCUUGGCCUUGGGGGGCUCUUCCAGGGGCUCCAGCCGCGGCCCCCCCAGGCUGUCCCGCUCCCCCCCGGCCUCCUCCUCACCUGCGGGGACCCAGGCGUCCGGGCAGCACAUGCAUAUGCCGGGACCCCGGCAUCCAGGGCCCCCAUCCCCCCCGCUGCCCCGGGAUCCCAGCGUCUGGGGGGGGCUGGCACCUACCUUCUUCGCUCCCCUCCUCCUCCUCUUCCUCGGGCUUCAGCGGCUCCCCCUCAACCUGGGGGGGAUGAGCACAUGUGCACACACGUGAGGGCCAUGCACACGCGUGCAGACACAUGUGAGGGCUGCGCACACAUGUGCGGACACACGUCCCCCAUCCGCACUCACCUUCACACUCACAUCCUGCCUCCCCGCACCGGCCUCCGCCUCUCCGGCCUUGUCCCUGCGGGGUCAGAGGGGCUCAGCCAGAGGACCCAGGCGUCCGGGGGCCCCUGCACCCCACCCCUGCCCCGGAAGCCCAGGCGUCCGGGCUCACUUCUUGCCAUCGGAUCGCGAGUUGAUGUUGUCGCCGUCCGCCAGGUUGUCAACGGCGAUGGCCAAAAAGACGUUGAGGAGGAUGUCUGGGUGGGGGGGGUGUUAACCAGUGCUCCCAGUUCCCCCCCGCCCGCAUUUCCAGCAUCCUGCCAGUACCUCCCAGUGUCCCCCACUCCUUCCCAGUGCCCCCAGCCCCACCAGUGUCCAGGCCCCAAUGUCCCCCCUCACCCAUGGCCCUGUCCCCAGUCCCCGCAGUCCCUCCUGUGUCCAGCCCCAGUGUCCCCAGUCACCUGCAGUCCCAUUCCCAGUUCCUCCAGUCCCCCCAGUGUCGGGGCCCAGCGUUCCCAGUCACCCGCAGCCCCGUUCCCAGCGCCCCCGGCACCACGCACAGUUGCCGCAGAUGAAGAGGAUGACGAAGUAGACGCAGACCAGCAUGCCGGGGAAGACGGGGCCGCCGUAGGCCAUGAUCCCAUCAUACAUCACCGUGUUCCAGUCCUCCCCCGUCAGGAUCUGGGGGCGCCCCCCAACGCUGGCGUCACCCCAGACCCUCGGGGGGCCCCGGUGCUCCCAGCGCCAGCCCCCCAUUAG